This 497-nucleotide ribosomal RNA is filed under the name uncultured bacterium. Its description in RNAcentral is "partial 16S ribosomal RNA". It matches the Rfam family "Bacterial small subunit ribosomal RNA", at positions 28 to 507 of the family's 1533-position model. The record is from RNAcentral.
GAUGAACGCUGGCGGCGUGCCUAAUACAUACAAGUCGAGCGAACGGACGAGAAGCUUGCUUCUCUGAUGUUAGCGGCGGACGGGUGAGUAACACGUGGAUAACCUACCUAUAAGACUGGGAUAACUUCGGGAAACCGGGGCUAAUACCGGAUGAUAUUUUGAACCGCAUGGUUCAAAAGUGAAAGACGGUCUUGCUGUCACUUAUAGAUGGAUCCGCGCUGCAUUAGCUAGUUGGUAAGGUAACGGCUUACCAAGGCAACGAUGCAUAGCCGACCUGAGAGGGUGAUCGGCCACACUGGAACUGAGACACGGUCCAGACUCCUACGGGAGGCAGCAGUAGGGAAUCUUCCGCAAUGGGCGAAAGCCUGACGGAGCAACGCCGCGUGAGUGAUGAAGGUCUUCGGAUCGUAAAACUCUGUUAUUAGGGAAGAACAUAUGUGUAAGUAACUGUGCACAUCUUGACGGUACCUAAUCAGAAAGCCACGGCUAACUACGUG